This 425-nucleotide ribosomal RNA is filed under the name uncultured bacterium. RNAcentral's name for it is "partial 16S ribosomal RNA". It matches the Rfam family "Bacterial small subunit ribosomal RNA", at positions 354 to 796 of the family's 1533-position model. The record is from RNAcentral.
GUGGGGAAUAUUGGACAAUGGGCGAAAGCCUGAUCCAGCCAUGCCGCGUGAGUGAUGAAGGCCUUAGGGUUGUAAAGCUCUUUUGUCCGGGAAGAUAAUGACUGUACCGGAAGAAUAAGCCCCGGCUAACUUCGUGCCAGCAGCCGCGGUAAUACGAAGGUGGCUAGCGUUGCUCGGAAUCACUGGGCGUAAAGGGCGCGUAGGCGGACUUUUAAGUCGGAGGUGAAAGCCCAGGGCUCAACCCUGGAAUUGCCUUCGAUACUGGGAGUCUUGAGUUCGGAAGAGGUUGGUGGAACUGCGAGUGUAGAGGUGAAAUUCGUAGAUAUUCGCAAGAACACCGGUGGCGAAGGCGGCCAACUGGUCCGAAACUGACGCUGAGGCGCGAAAGCGUGGGGAGCAAACAGGAUUAGAAACCCGAGUAGUCC